This 368-nucleotide ribosomal RNA is filed under the name uncultured organism. Its description in RNAcentral is "bacterial LSU rRNA". It matches the Rfam family "Bacterial large subunit ribosomal RNA", at positions 2099 to 2465 of the family's 2925-position model. The record is from RNAcentral.
CUUGACUGUAUCCUGGAAUUGGGUUCGGGCUUUUCUUGCGCAGCCUAGGUGGGAGGCUAUGAAGAUUUCCUUCCGGGGAAGUUGGAGCCAUCAGUGAGAGACCACUCUGGAGAGGCUAGAAUCCUAAUGGUGAUCCUUGAAUCAGGACACUUGACAGUUUCAGGCGGGCAGUUUUUCUGGGGCGGAAAUGUCAUAAAAGGUAACUGAGGUGCGCAAAGGUUCCCUCAGUCUGGACGGAAAUCAGACAUUGAGUGUAAAGGCAAAAGGGAGCUUGACUGCAAGACCUACAAGUCGAGCAGGGUGGAAACACGGUCUUAGUGAUCCGACGGUGCCGCAUGGAAGGGCCGUCGCUCAACGGAUAAAAGUUA